RNAcentral lists this ribosomal RNA (253 nucleotides) under uncultured bacterium. RNAcentral describes it as "partial 16S ribosomal RNA". It matches the Rfam family "Bacterial small subunit ribosomal RNA", at positions 524 to 776 of the family's 1533-position model. The record is from RNAcentral.
UACGUAGGGCGCGAGCGUUAUCCGGAAUUAUUGGGCGUAAAGAGCUCGUAGGCGGUUUGUCGCGUCUGCCGUGAAAGUCCGGGGCUUAACCCCGGAUCUGCGGUGGGUACGGGCAGACUAGAGUGCAGUAGGGGAGACUGGAAUUCCUGGUGUAGCGGUGAAAUGCGCAGAUAUCAGGAGGAACACCGAUGGCGAAGGCAGGUCUCUGGGCUGUAACUGACGCUGAGGCACGACAGCGUGGGGAGCAAACAGG